GAUGAACGCUGGCGGCGUGCCUAAUACAUGCAAGUCGAGCGAACAGAUAAGGAGCUUGCUCCUUUGACGUUAGCGGCGGACGGGUGAGUAACACGUGGGUAACCUACCUAUAAGACUGGAAUAACUCCGGGAAACCGGGGCUAAUGCCGGAUAACAUUUAGAACCGCAUGGUUCUAAAGUGAAAGAUGGUUUUGCUAUCACUUAUAGAUGGACCCGCGCCGUAUUAGCUAGUUGGUAAGGUAACGGCUUACCAAGGCAACGAUACGUAGCCGACCUGAGGGGGUGAUCGGCCACACUGGAACUGAGACACGGUCCAGACUCCUACGGGAGGCAGCAGUAGGGAAUCUGCCGCAAUGGGCGAAAGCCUGACGGAGCAACGCCGCGUGAGUGAUGAAGGUCUUCGGAUCGUAAAACUCUGUUAUUAGGGAAGAACAAAUGUGUAAGUAACUGUGCACGUCUUGACGGUACCUAAUCAGAAAGCCACGGCUAACUACGU
Molecule: ribosomal RNA, 496 nt
Filed under: uncultured bacterium
Lineage: Bacteria
Description: partial 16S ribosomal RNA
Rfam family: Bacterial small subunit ribosomal RNA
Source: RNAcentral